This 497-nucleotide ribosomal RNA is filed under the name uncultured bacterium. RNAcentral's name for it is "partial 16S ribosomal RNA". It matches the Rfam family "Bacterial small subunit ribosomal RNA", at positions 28 to 507 of the family's 1533-position model. The record is from RNAcentral.
GAUGAACGCUGGCGGCGUGCCUAAUACAUGCAAGUCGAGCGAACGGACGAGAAGCUUGCUUCUCUGAUGUUAGCGGCGGACGGGUGAGUAACACGUGGAUAACCUACCUAUAAGACUGGUAUAACUUCGGGAAACCGGAGCUAAUACCGGAUAAUCUUUUGAACCGCAGGGUUCAAUAGUGAAAGACGGUCUUUCUGUAUCUUCUAGCUGGUUCCGCGCUGCAUUAGCUAGUUGUUAAGGUAACGGGUUAUCAAGGCAAGCAUGCAUAGCCGACCUGAGAGAGUGAUCGGCCACACUGGAACGUGGACACGGACCAGACUCCUACGAGAGGCAGCAGUAGGGAAUGGUACGCAGUAGGCGAGAGCAUGACGGAACAGCGCCGAGUGAGAGAUAGAGGUCUUCGGAUCGUAAAGCUCUGUUAUUAGUGAAGAACAUAUGUGUAAGUAACUGUGCACAUCUUGACGGUACCUAGUCAGAAAGCAACGGCUAACUACGUG